CUCCAAAGGGUUGAGCUUGGUUCAGAGCAACUUCCCUGUUCUGUUAAUUAAACUUUGGGACAUUGAAAUUGGCUGAGGGAAAUUACUGAAUAGAGAAUAUCACUCUAUUCAUAUACUUCUAGCCUACACAA
This is a small nucleolar RNA of Rattus norvegicus (Norway rat), 131 nucleotides long. Lineage: Eukaryota; Metazoa; Chordata; Mammalia; Rodentia; Muridae. The record is from Ensembl.